Molecule: unclassified non-coding RNA, 1539 nt
Filed under: Aphidius gifuensis
Lineage: Eukaryota; Metazoa; Arthropoda; Insecta; Hymenoptera; Braconidae
Description: misc RNA J6753_mgp12
Source: RNAcentral
AUGAAAAAAUGAUUAUUUUCUACAAAUCAUAAAGAUAUUGGAAUUUUAUAUUUUAUUUUUGGUAUAUGAUCUGGAGUAUUAGGUUUAUCUAUAAGAUUAUUAAUUCGAAUAGAAUUAAGAAUCACUGGUAGAUUAAUUGGUAAUGAUCAAAUUUAUAAUAGUAUUGUUACUGCUCAUGCUUUUGUAAUAAUUUUUUUUAUAGUUAUACCCAUUAUAAUUGGUGGAUUUGGUAAUUGAUUAAUUCCUUUAAUAUUAGGAUCUCCUGAUAUAGCUUUUCCACGAAUAAAUAAUAUAAGAUUUUGAUUAUUAAUCCCAUCUUUAAUUUUAUUAUUAAUUAGAGGUUUAAUAAAUUCAGGAGUUGGUACAGGUUGAACUGUUUAUCCUCCUUUAUCGUUGAUAUUAGGUCAUAGAGGUGUAGCGGUAGAUUUUGCUAUUUUUUCAUUACAUUUAGCAGGUGUUUCUUCUAUUAUAGGAGCUAUUAAUUUUAUUAGUACUAUUUUUAAUAUACGAUCUUAUAAUAUUAAAAUAGAUCAAAUUUCAUUAUUAAUUUGAUCAGUUUUAAUUACUGCUAUUUUGUUAUUAUUAUCAUUACCUGUUUUAGCAGGAGCUAUUACUAUAUUAUUGACAGAUCGUAAUUUAAAUACUACUUUUUUUGAUUUUGCUGGUGGUGGAGAUCCUAUUUUAUAUCAACAUUUAUUUUGAUUUUUUGGUCAUCCAGAAGUUUAUAUUUUAAUUUUACCUGGUUUUGGUAUUAUUUCUCAUAUUGUUUAUAAUGAAAGGGGUAAAAAAGAAACUUUCGGUACUUUAGGUAUAAUUUAUGCUAUAAUAACUAUUGGAUUUUUAGGAUUUAUUGUUUGAGCUCAUCAUAUAUUUACUGUUGGUAUGGAUGUUGAUACUCGAGCUUAUUUUACUUCAGCAACUAUAAUUAUUGCUAUUCCUACUGGUAUUAAAGUUUUUAGUUGAUUAGCUACUUUAAGAGGAGUUAAUUUAAAAUAUAAUUUAAGUAUUUUAUGAUCUAUAGGUUUUAUUUUUUUAUUUACUUUAGGAGGAUUAACUGGAAUUUUGUUAUCUAAUUCAUCUGUUGAUAUUAUUUUGCAUGAUACUUAUUAUGUAGUAGCUCAUUUUCAUUAUGUUUUAUCUAUAGGAGCAGUAUUUGCUAUUUUAGCAGGUAUAAUUUUUUGGUUCCCUUUAUUUACAGGUUUAAUUUUAAAUGAUAAAUGAUUAAAAAUUCAUUUUUUUAUAAUUUUUUUAGGUGUAAAUUUAACUUUUUUUCCUCAACAUUAUUUAGGUUUAAGAGGGAUACCUCGUCGUUAUUCUGAUUAUCCUGAUAUAUAUUUAGGUUGAAAUUUAAUUUCUUCAUUAGGUUCUAUUAUAUCUUUAGUAAGUAUAAUUUUUUUUAUUUUUAUUUUAUGAGAAAGAUUAUUAAGUAAACGUUUAGUAAUUUAUAAUAAAUAUAUAAAUACUUCUAUUGAAUGAACUCAAUUAUAUCCUCCAAUAAAUCAUAGAUAUGAUCAAAUUCCUAUUGUUUAUUUAAAAUAA